Molecule: long non-coding RNA, 484 nt
Organism: Diospyros lotus (date-plum)
Lineage: Eukaryota; Viridiplantae; Streptophyta; Magnoliopsida; Ericales; Ebenaceae
Exons: 3
Source: RefSeq, a predicted model, not a curated record
GAAAGCUCGGAAAAACUCGCAGCCAUCGUUAAGAAGAGAGAUCCUACCUGGGAAAGGAAAAAAUGGGGCUUGGGAUUAAGUGAAAGAAAAGCCUUGUCAUCUGCAGUUUUUCUUUUAGCAAUCCUUCCUUCUCUUCUCUUCUCUUCUUCUUCAUGUGCUUCGUCUGUCUAUCGGUUCCAAUUUUCGGUCUUCCUUCAUAAGAUUGCAUUGGCCAAGAACGUACGUUACAACAGUUCAAAUGCCAGGAGCCCGGCAUUGACCCAGUGGAGGUGGACUCGGUGGAGUACAAGAAACGGGUGAUCAUUGGAAUUGAACGAUUUGCCAAAACGACCUCGAUCUAGACCGGUAAGUUCGCUUUAAAGGGAAAAUUUUGCUGAUUCCCUUGGCAAAAUUUUCCCCAACAAAAUCCCCCUCCGGCUGGGAACCAGAAACAGCAUCAAUGAGGUGCAGACUAUCGAGCAAGCCUUCCCCCAAACGAUCAAAA